GGGGUAAGCUUGGGCGGCGGUGGAUGGGGGUGCUAUCAUGCAAGUCGAACGCUUUGUGGUUAACUGAUUUGAAGAGCUUGCUCAGAUAUGACGAUGGACAUUGCAAAGAGUGGCGAACGGGUGAGUAACACGUGGGAAACCUACCUCUUAGCAGGGGAUAACAUUUGGAAACAGAUGCUAAUACCGUUAUAACAAUAGCAACCGCAUGGUUGCUACUUAAAAGAUGGUUCUGCUAUCACUAAGAGAUGGUCCCGCGGUGCAUUAGUUAGUUGGUGAGGUAAUGGCUCACCAAGACGAUGAUGCAUAGCCGAGUUGAGAGACUGAUCGGCCACAAUGGGACUGAGACACGGCCCAUACUCCUACGGGAGGCAGCAGUAGGGAAUCUUCCACAAUGGGCGAAAGCCUGAUGGAGCAACGCCGCGUGUGUGAUGAAGGGUUUCGGCUCGUAAAACACUGUUGUAAGAGAAGAAUGACAUUGAGAGUAACUGUUCAAUGUGUGACGGUAUCUUACCAGAAAGGAACGGCUAAAUACGUGCCAGCAGCCGCGGUAAUACGUAUGUUCCAAGCGUUUUCCGGAUUUUUUGGGCGUAAAGCGAGCGCAGACGGUUAUUUAAGUUUGAAGGGAAAGCCCCCCGCCCCACCGAGGGAAGGGCCU
Molecule: ribosomal RNA, 655 nt
Filed under: Weissella sp.
Lineage: Bacteria; Bacillati; Bacillota; Bacilli; Lactobacillales; Lactobacillaceae
Description: bacterial SSU rRNA
Rfam family: Bacterial small subunit ribosomal RNA
Source: RNAcentral